RNAcentral lists this long non-coding RNA (238 nucleotides) under Lathyrus oleraceus (garden pea). RNAcentral describes it as "Pisum sativum (pea) long non-coding RNA (PSAT_LNC011767)". The record is from RNAcentral. Lineage: Eukaryota; Viridiplantae; Streptophyta; Magnoliopsida; Fabales; Fabaceae.
AACAUUUCACCAGAAAAACCUUGCAGAUUUCUCUCAGCUUCCGUAAAAGAACCCUUAACAAUGAGAAGCACAAUAAAAAGAAAAGAAAAUAGAGAUGCAAUCCCAUAAAGUAAACCAUUCAAAACUUAACCCCCAUAAUGAACAUAUAAUCGAACAUCUCAAAAAGAAAUUAUCAACAUUGUAGAAAACUAAUAUCUUAAAAAAGAAAACAUAAGAAUAAUAAAAGGCAUCUAAAAAU